CGCGCGUUGGGGCUGUGAGUUGUGCAACCCAGGGAGGGGGCGCCGGGGCUGCGGCCCGCGGAGAGGGCGCGCGGGCGGGCGCGGCUUGGCGCGGGAGGGCCGCGGUGGCCGCUUCUCCGCGGGCCCCGCCGCCCGCUCGCCGCUUUCUCGCGGGGCUGGCUAUGCCGGGUGGCGGCUCCCAGGCCCAGGCGGGUCGGGCUCCGGAGGUCGAGUCACCGAGCUCCGGUCGCUCAGGUGGGGCCGAGCGGAAAGCCCAGCGCAUCCUCCCCUCGGGCAACGCCGUCCCCGCCGGGAUUUCGGGCGAGGUGAGGCCGGGCUUCCCGGCCCCGCGGCCUAAGGCACCGGUCCCCGCCCGCCCGGGGGCAUAGAUCGCGAACAUGGAGGCGGGCUCGGGCGCCGCGGAUGGAAACGGACACACUGCGCUGCCCCAGCGGCUCAGACUCGCGCGCGCUCGUGGGGCGAGACAUCUCUUGGCAUCUCGGAUCCAGCCCUGGCCAUUCGCUUAACUAUCCAUCCCUCCAUCCAGAUCGCCAGCAACCCCAGGCCGAGCGUCACGAAAGCCCCUCACUCCCCCCUCGUCCCUCCUUCACCCCCAGGCUCCAGUCCAGAUCCCUUUUACACGCUGCGUUCAUUUUAGCUCGGCUGUUCACAUUUUUAACUCCGUAUUAAGAAGUGUUACAAAUAUAACUUGGAGAAAUGAAUCCCGCAUUUCUUCCCUAAGCUGUCUCAUUUCAAGUCCUUAAAAACAGCCCUAACAUCCAAGUACUGAUUACUCUGUCUGGGGUUCUUGCCAUUUGGUUAUCCGUUAACAAUCUCGGUUUGUGUUCGGUGUUUUGUGAUAAAGAGAUGAAAGACGAAUCCAGAUUUAGGAAAAGUUUUCCUAUUGGUUGACAAG
This 895-nucleotide long non-coding RNA is filed under the name Homo sapiens (human). RNAcentral describes it as "HSALNT0364798". The record is from RNAcentral. Lineage: Eukaryota; Metazoa; Chordata; Mammalia; Primates; Hominidae.